CCAGCACGUCCUCCUGCCCCACAGGCUGCUUCCUCUGCGGAGCCCCAGCCUGAGCCCCGCGCCAGAGGCCGGCUCCCGCUCAUACCCGCCUUCGGAUUUCACCUGAGCUGCGGCUCCAGCUUGGGCUCCCCCCGCAGCCUCCCGCCCAGCCCCGCUGGGGCCACUUCCUCAAGGUCAGGAACUUUAGGGGCGCUGCUGGCCUGCUGCCUCUGUGGCUGCCCUCACAGGCUGGAGAGGGGGUCAUUUUGCCCUUUUUGAAUGAAUGUCCGUAUGCUCGUUCAAAGAUUCCAAUAACCUGGGAAACAGUGUGCUGAAACUGGAUUUUUGCAGAAGAGACAAGAGGCUACCUAAUAAUGCUACUUCUGCAAAUGGAUGUCCAGAAUUGAAAGGUGUAACUGAAUCACUGACUUCUUAUCUGGUGAAUAGAUGUGAACUACCGUGGAUGUAAGAAUCACAGUCUCUCCUAAAAGAGAAAGAGUAGCAGGACUGCUUGUGAGAAAAGUGUUCCUCUUAAAGAUACAGUCUGACUCAAGAGGAGAUAUUGACUAUUGAUUGCUAUGGAAAAUAUUAAGAAGUGUUUUGGACUACUUCCAAUCAUCCAAUUGAAGGACCAUCCAACACAAAAGAUUAUCAAAGCUUUGUUAAACAUGUAAAGAAUUUUCCUCUUAAAAUAGGCAGUGAAAUUACUGGAUUGCUUGCUCCAGCAAUUCUCAAAUUUUGGAUCAGAGGAAUCUCUUGAAAAUUAUUGUGGACCCCAAAGAGAUUUGGCUAUGUGAGUUAUAUCUAUUGAUAUUCACCAUAUUUAAAAUUAAAAU
Molecule: long non-coding RNA, 815 nt
Filed under: Vulpes vulpes (red fox)
Lineage: Eukaryota; Metazoa; Chordata; Mammalia; Carnivora; Canidae
Description: lncRNA (ENSVVUG00000013750.1)
Source: RNAcentral